This is a long non-coding RNA of Vespa mandarinia (Asian giant hornet), 2782 nucleotides long. Lineage: Eukaryota; Metazoa; Arthropoda; Insecta; Hymenoptera; Vespidae. The record is from RefSeq and is a predicted model, not a curated record.
UCGCCUACGCCCGCAUAGCGCCACGGCCGUGCUUUCCGUUCCUGGUACCCUUCACUGCUUCAACGUCGUCGUCGUCCUCGCCGUUGUCAUCGUCGUCGUUGUCUUUGUCAUCGUCGUCACUGUUAUCGUCUUCGUUGUCAUCGUCAUACCAUUCGGAUAACACCCGCCUCCCUCUUGAGCGCCCUCUUUUGACCGAUCACUGAAGUCUAACGGACGGAGAAACAGAGAGAGGGAGAGGGAGAGAGAGAGAAAGAGAAAGAGAGUCAAGCAACAUCCAACAAUUCUACUCCGCACCUCUCUCUCUUUCUCUACACCCCACUCCACCCUCUUCGGUUCGUCGUCGACGCGACGGAGACGUCCCCUCUACCCACCGCCCUGCAUCCCCUCGUCCUCUCCAUCCGCUCUCCAUCCUUCAUCGUAUCUCUCUCCACCGCACCCUCGAUGCCUUCGCGCUAUCCUGCGCGCGCGACUACGCGUAUCGCCGACAUACCCCUCUUCCACCACCUUCUCUUCUCGUCAUGCUCUCGUCUCUCCUCUUUCUCUCUCACUCCACUAUCUCUCUCGACUGUCCCGCUCAACGGACUUGUCUAUGUUCUCUUCCUCCCGAGUCUAUGUAUAUGUCUUCGCCACGUCGGCCCCUUUCCUUCGCUCCCUCGCACCCUCGAUCGCCCUCCAAAAGGGGCGCUUAUUUUCGCCCCUUUGUUCUCACGCUCGUAACCAAACUUCUCCGCUCUUUCGCGCGCUCUCCUACUCCUCUUCUCUCGCUACGUCAUCGUAUGCUCCGUUUCAGUGCGAUAUCGUUACCCUUUCGCGGCCGAUGUCUUAUAAAUGCUACGAUUUGUUUUAUAAUGCAUGCUAUCGUUCGAUUUGACUUAGGAUGUUUUUUUAUAAAAAACAUCUUGAAUUAUUUUUCAACGUUCGAGGUUAUGUUCAAGGAAGAAGGAGUAAACACGUGGUUUCGAUAGUUUAUCACGUCCGUUUUUCUAUGUACCACGUUGUCGUCAUGCAAAAACAUAUCGAUUAACUUUAUCGCAGAUUCUUUAUUUCUAAGAUCGUUCAGAGGACACUUGUAAUUGUCGAGUAUUAUCGAAUAAUUUGUUUUCUAUUCGAGCUCGAUUCACGAUCGAUCAUUGGAUGCGUUCCGAAGGAAAUUUGAGCCGUUUUGCUCUACGCUCCGUUUCAUCGCGGAGGCAUUUAUCGUUGGAUGACUAUGAACAUUAGUCAACAGAGAAAAAGAGAGAGAGAAAAAAAGACUCAUCAAGGAUAUAUUGUAUAUAUAUAUGAAGGAUAAAUAAUAAGGUAGCAUCGAGGAAGGUGGGAAACGCAGGUGAGGAUGGUGCAGUGCGUUGUCCAGCGGGUUUCACGAGGGGUAGCCUCUGGUCUCUCCGCUGCGGAUGAAUUCCCGCAUAUCAUUUCGGUCGACUGAUAAAAAGGCUUGGAGGCUGGCUCGUCGCAAUGGACGACGAGGCGUAUACGGACAAAAAAGCCGUUGGGAGGGGAAAAGACUCGGAGGUCGGACACACAUACAUAUAAAGACAUACAUGAAGCACACAGUAGAUACAUAAGCGCAGAGAAGGCAAAAGGGGAGGGAGAGGGAGAGAGAGAAAGAGAGUGAGCGUGAGCGAGGACGAAGCGACUGAGUGGAGAGCGUAGCUCGAGCUCGGUUGCUAAGGGGUGUAGAGACGGCGAGAGAGGGACGACGCGCUUGCCGUUGGAAGACGGGGCGGAGGGGUGCAGACGUGUACGUAAACGACGUGAAUCCGGGUAAAGGGGAGCGUCACCACCAUCGCCACCGCCACUAACGCCGUCCUCGCUGCUCUGCCGUCGCGAUGAUUUGACUCUUCUGACUCUGACUCUUUCUCUUUCUCUCUUUUUCUUUCUCUCUCCCUCUCUCUUUUUCUCUCUCGUCGUUGUCGUUCGUGUCCUUCGUUUAGUUCUAGCGAGCCUCUAGCGUGCUGAUUCUAGCUUGACGCUCGUGCGCGCACUCUAAGAAACUCGAUGUGCAGUCGUAUGCGCCCACUGCCAGGGCUGUAUCAUUUUCCUUUGCCACGAGUGUUUUUUGCUCUCUUUCUCUCUCUUACUCUUUCGUGUGAAAGAAAAUAGUCAUGUUCUUUGCUUUAGUCUCUUCACUACCAAACGAGAAGAGAAGGUCUAUCUUGACGAAUGUAACGAACAGUUUCCUUUCGCAAAAAAUUCGUUAGUACGUAGAAGAUAUCUGUAUGAUUACCUAUAAACGAUAUGGCAUUUUGAAUAGAAUUAUGUAACAGAGUAUUAUGGUCAUAAUUAAUUCUUUGAAAUCUUUUUUUUCUUAUCGUAAACACGUAGGAGUGAAGUUGAAAAAACGAAAAGAAUUGGAAAUGUCGCGACAUCAACUCGUGAUCCCUGGAUCCUCGAUGUGGCCCCAAACGGUGGUAUCUAGGGAGCUUGGAGAUCCAAUGGAAGCCAAGUCGCGUAGAAGGGAUACUAGAGUAGGAGGUGGCAGUUAUGGCGCCUGCCGUUUGCGAGGAAGAAGAAGAGACGAAGAAAGAGGAGAGAGAGACCGAGUCGAAGAGUACUACACGUGUCGCGGCGGCGGGGUGUUGACCCCAAAUAGCUUUUUUAACGUGACGUAACUGAGAAAGGGUUGAGAAAUGGCCAAGUGCUUGAGCUCGACGCGAACCGAAUGACUUUUCGAAUGAACUCUAAAAGCUAAGCGUCUUUGAGAACUCUUCAUAUUUUCGAAUUAAACGAUGAUACCGAUUUACGUUGCUCGAUUAAAAAAAAAAAGAAAAUAAACAGGAAA